Molecule: ribosomal RNA, 1133 nt
Filed under: Klebsiella quasipneumoniae subsp. similipneumoniae
Lineage: Bacteria; Pseudomonadati; Pseudomonadota; Gammaproteobacteria; Enterobacterales; Enterobacteriaceae
Also listed under: 4 other names
Description: bacterial SSU rRNA
Rfam family: Bacterial small subunit ribosomal RNA
Source: RNAcentral
AAAUUGAAGAGUUUGAUCAUGGCUCAGAUUGAACGCUGGCGGCAGGCCUAACACAUGCAAGUCGAGCGGUAGCACAGAGAGCUUGCUCUCGGGUGACGAGCGGCGGACGGGUGAGUAAUGUCUGGGAAACUGCCUGAUGGAGGGGGAUAACUACUGGAAACGGUAGCUAAUACCGCAUAACGUCGCAAGACCAAAGUGGGGGACCUUCGGGCCUCAUGCCAUCAGAUGUGCCCAGAUGGGAUUAGCUAGUAGGUGGGGUAACGGCUCACCUAGGCGACGAUCCCUAGCUGGUCUGAGAGGAUGACCAGCCACACUGGAACUGAGACACGGUCCAGACUCCUACGGGAGGCAGCAGUGGGGAAUAUUGCACAAUGGGCGCAAGCCUGAUGCAGCCAUGCCGCGUGUAUGAAGAAGGCCUUCGGGUUGUAAAGUACUUUCAGCGGGGAGGAAGGCGAUAAGGUUAAUAACCUUGUCGAUUGACGUUACCCGCAGAAGAAGCACCGGCUAACUCCGUGCCAGCAGCCGCGGUAAUACGGAGGGUGCAAGCGUUAAUCGGAAUUACUGGGCGUAAAGCGCACGCAGGCGGUCUGUCAAGUCGGAUGUGAAAUCCCCGGGCUCAACCUGGGAACUGCAUUCGAAACUGGCAGGCUAGAGUCUUGUAGAGGGGGGUAGAAUUCCAGGUGUAGCGGUGAAAUGCGUAGAGAUCUGGAGGAAUACCGGUGGCGAAGGCGGCCCCCUGGACAAAGACUGACGCUCAGGUGCGAAAGCGUGGGGAGCAAACAGGAUUAGAUACCCUGGUAGUCCACGCCGUAAACGAUGUCGAUUUGGAGGUUGUGCCCUUGAGGCGUGGCUUCCGGAGCUAACGCGUUAAAUCGACCGCCUGGGGAGUACGGCCGCAAGGUUAAAACUCAAAUGAAUUGACGGGGGCCCGCACAAGCGGUGGAGCAUGUGGUUUAAUUCGAUGCAACGCGAAGAACCUUACCUGGUCUUGACAUCCACAGAACUUGCCAGAGAUGGCUUGGUGCCUUCGGGAACUGUGAGACAGGUGCUGCAUGGCUGUCGUCAGCUCGUGUUGUGAAAUGUUGGGUUAAGUCCCGCAACGAGCGCAACCCUUAUCCUUUGUUGCCAGCGGU